Molecule: ribosomal RNA, 382 nt
Filed under: uncultured bacterium
Lineage: Bacteria
Description: bacterial SSU rRNA
Rfam family: Bacterial small subunit ribosomal RNA
Source: RNAcentral
GACGAACGCUGGCGGCGUGCUUAACACAUGCAAGUCGAGCGGUAAGGCCCUUUCGGGGGUACGACGAGCGGCGAACGGGUGAGUAACACGUGGGUGACCUGCCCUCAGCUCUGGGAUAAGCCUGGGAAACCGGGUCUAAUACCGGAUAUGACUCCAUGACGCAUGUUGUGGGGUGGAAAGCCUUGUGCGGCUGAGGAUGGGCCCGCGGCCUAUCAGCUUGUUGGUGGGGUGAGGCCUACCAAGGCGACGACGGGUAGCCGGCCUGAGAGGGCGACCGGCACACUGGGACUGAGACACGGCCCAGACUCCUACGGGAGGCAGCAGGUGGGGAAUCUUGCGCAAUGGGCGAAAGCCUGACGCAGCGACGCCGCGUGAGGGAUGA